RNAcentral lists this ribosomal RNA (650 nucleotides) under uncultured archaeon. RNAcentral's name for it is "bacterial SSU rRNA". It matches the Rfam family "Archaeal small subunit ribosomal RNA", at positions 150 to 806 of the family's 1478-position model. The record is from RNAcentral.
GAUCAUUUAAGGAUUUGAUGCUGGAUGCGCGAUAUCUGAAAGUUGAGGCGCCGCAGGAUGGGUCUGCGGCCGAUUAGGUAGUUGUUGGGGUAACGGCCCAACAAGCCUGUAAUCGGUACGGGUUGUGGGAGCAAGAGCCCGGAGAUGGAUUCUGAGACAUGAAUCCAGGCCCUACGGGGCGCAGCAGGCGCGAAAACUUUAUAAUGCGGGAAACCGUGAUAAGGGAACCCCGAGUGCCCGUAGAAUCGGGCUGUUGAUCUGUGUAAAAAGCAGGUAAAGAAAGGGCCGGGCAAGACCGGUGCCAGCCGCCGCGGUAAUACCGGCGGCUCGAGUGGUGGCCACUAUUACUGGGCUUAAAGCGUUCGUAGCUGGGUUGUUAAGUCUCUUGGGAAAUCCACCGGCUCAACCGAUGGGCGACCAGGGGAAACUGGCAUUCUAGGGACCGGGAGAGGUGAGAGGUACUCCAGGGGUAGGAGUGAAAUCCUGUAAUCCUUGGGGGACCACCGAUGGCGAAGGCAUCUCACCAGAACGGCUCCGACAGUGAGGAACGAAAGCUGGGGGAGCAAACCGGAUUAGAUACCCGGGUAGUCCCAGCUGUAAACGAUGCGCGUUAGGUGUAUCGGUGACCACGAGUUACCGAGGUGCCGAAG